UGGCUCAGGACGAACGCUGGCGGCGUGCUUAACACAUGCAAGUCGAACGGGCACUUCGGUGUCAGUGGCGAACGGGUGAGUAAAGCGCAGGUAAUCUGCCGCAAAGACGGGGACAACGUUCCGAAAGGGACGCUAAUACCGGAUGUUGUAAUGAUGUCGCAUGAUGUUAUUACCAAAGAUUUAUCGCUUUGCGAGGAGCCUGCGUCCGAUUAGGUAGUUGGUGGGGUAAGAGCCUACCAAGCCGACGAUCGGUAGCCGGUCUGAGAGGAUGAACGGCCACAAUGGAACUGAGACACGGUCCAUACUCCUACGGGAGGCAGCAGUGGGGAAUAUUCCACAAUGGGGGAAACCCUGAUGGAGCGACGCCGCGUGAGUGAUGAAGGGCUUCGGCUCGUAAAGCUCUUUUCUUCAGGACGAAUGGUCUAUCAGAUAGACAGGGACGGUACUGAGGGAAUAAGCCACGGCUAACUACGUGCCAGCCGCCGC
This 486-nucleotide ribosomal RNA is filed under the name uncultured bacterium. RNAcentral's name for it is "bacterial SSU rRNA". It matches the Rfam family "Bacterial small subunit ribosomal RNA", at positions 20 to 518 of the family's 1533-position model. The record is from RNAcentral.